This 1212-nucleotide long non-coding RNA is filed under the name Heterocephalus glaber (naked mole-rat). Its description in RNAcentral is "lncRNA (ENSHGLG00100052617.1)". Lineage: Eukaryota; Metazoa; Chordata; Mammalia; Rodentia; Bathyergidae. The record is from RNAcentral.
CAAGACAUUGAGCCAGCCCCUGGAGACUGGAAAAGGCAAUGAAACAUUCUCCCCAACAACUUCUGGAAGAACCACCUCUGUCCACAUCCUGACCUCAUCCUGUGAACUGAGCACUGCAAAGAUUUCCUUUCCACAGUUCCACCCUCCUGUUCCCUCUGAUGGACCACAGCCCAUAAAACCACCAUCUUGAUGUCACUCUUCCAACAGUUUUGGCCACAUCUCUAUCCACCUUGCAAAAUGACUUCCAGGCCAUGUUCUCUGGCAGCCUCCCCUUCAUCAGAGAAACCUUGCAGCAAGGGAUUGAACUCUGGUCCUUGCACUUGCGCAGCAGGCAGCGAAACCACUGAGCUAAAUCCCUGGUCCUACUUAAGUGAGGCUUUCCAGGAUAGAAGUUGCCUCCCAAGCCUGAGCUCUAAAAUGAGUACAGAUGGUACAGAACUGAACCCAGCCAUCAGAAAGGAGCUGAGCCUGGCCAGUCCUAUAACUUGACACCGAGCCACAGAAAGAAGUUCAACCAAGACCAGCUGAUUUUCAGACAGGACAUACACUCCUGAGUUAAGCUGAUGCUUAUCUUGUAUACCACUGAGAGUUUAUGAUUGUUUGACAUACAUGAUUAUUGUUUAACUAAGUUGACAAGUUAAACUCCCCUGGACAAUGUGCCUCUGUGGCCUUCUCCUAUUGUUUUUUCCUUAAUGCUCUCUACUAGCAACUGCAAGCAUCAUUUUGAGGAUAACAGCCAUGGGAUAGAAAGUUGGAAGGAACCUGGGUCCUGGAUGACAGCAAGGCCACACUUACUGGGGAUCAAAUCCAGGGCCUUGCAUGUUACAGGCAAGUAUUCUACCACAGAGCCAAUUUUCUCACCCUUUUCAUUCCCACUGCUAAAGUUCCCUUCUUGAAGACAUUUCCCCUGUCUUAUUCAAAAUAGCAUAUUCCACCCUGUCACUGUGAUCUUACCCUGCUUUGUAUUUUUCUUGGUGUCAUUCAUCCUCCAUAUAUCUGUUUACUAUCCAUAUUUUCUAUGGACUGUAAGCCAUAUGAGAGUGUAAGGGAGGAAAAGUAGAAUAUUUUCUUUGCCCAUCACAAGGGUCAUGGCUGAGAUGCCCAUUAAAGGUAGAUUAUUAGGACAAAAGCAUAACAAAUGUAUUCAGCCAAAGUUUUAUGUGACAUGGGAAUCUUCAGAAAGGAAGACCCAAAGGCUCAGGACCAACUUGC